CCUACGGGUGGCUGCAGUGGGGAAUAUUGCACAAUGGGCGCAAGCCUGAUGCAGCCAUGCCGCGUGUGUGAAGAAGGCCUUCGGGUUGUAAAGCACUUUCAGCGGGGAGGAAGGCGGUGAGGUUAAUAACCUCAUCGAUUGACGUUACCCGCGGAAGAAGCACCGGCUAACUCCGUGCCAGCAGCCGCGGUAAUACGGAGGGUGCAAGCGUUAAUCGGAAUUACUGGGCGUAAAGCGCACGCAGGCGGUCUGUCAAGUCGGAUGUGAAAUCCCCGGGCUCAACCUGGGAACUGCAUUCGAAACUGGCAGGCUAGAGUCUUGUAGAGGGGGGUAGAAUUCCAGGUGUAGCGGUGAAAUGCGUAGAGAUCUGGAGGAAUACCGGUGGCGAAGGCGGCCCCCUGGACAAAGACUGACGCUCAGGUGCGAAAGCGUGGGGAGCAAACAGAAUUAGAUACCCUUGUAGUC
This 465-nucleotide ribosomal RNA is filed under the name uncultured Klebsiella sp. RNAcentral's name for it is "bacterial SSU rRNA". It matches the Rfam family "Bacterial small subunit ribosomal RNA", at positions 338 to 795 of the family's 1533-position model. Lineage: Bacteria; Pseudomonadati; Pseudomonadota; Gammaproteobacteria; Enterobacterales; Enterobacteriaceae. The record is from RNAcentral.